Long non-coding RNA from Acinonyx jubatus (cheetah), 949 nucleotides. RefSeq lists it as uncharacterized. NCBI's taxonomy places the organism in Eukaryota, Metazoa, Chordata, Mammalia, Carnivora, Felidae. The transcript has 4 exons. The record is from RefSeq and is a predicted model, not a curated record.
GAGAGGGAAAAGUCUGCACCUCCGAAUGUUCGGUCUUGGACGUUUUCCAAGCAUUUCAAGAUGACUCGGUCCAGCUGUCACACGGCUGUGUAAGUCAGGGUUAAAACCACAGCCGCACAUACUCCCAGCUUUAGCUCUGCCGUCCGAGUUCAGAUGAAACCAGGACGGGAAGUGAAAUAAGGUGUCUUUUGUCUCAAACUCCCGCCGAUUUCUUGUUCACACCUGAGGGAAGUUAAGAUGGGUUUAUGCCGACGGAAUGGGAGGGGCUCCCACGGCACGUCAGCCCACGAGUUCAGCUCUUCCCCCAUCACGUGCGUUCUAGAAGUCAGGGCACUUGCAAAGAGAGAAGCAUCUGCCUAGGACUGUUGCCGUCUCCCACCGUAAAAAGAAAAAUAACAUAGAAGGAAGUUUAAGAAACAAUUAGAGGACACCAGAUAAAAGACAUGAAAGACGCACAUUCUUACGAGGCAAGCAAGAUCGGGCUCUGCGACACAGACCUCUCAGGCGAUGUUUCAAGUAAUCACCGCGUCUAUGCUAAGCACUGGGUUCAACUCUGGAUCUACCGAGACAAACAGAUCAAGCAACUGAACUCCUGAAACUGACAACCGGAAGAAAAUACAGAAGGUGCGGUUAUGAAAACAGUCUCUGCUCUGGCGCCCCCUGGAUUUUUGUCUCUCCCGGCCGUUCCAGCUCUGCGUGGCUGUCCCCACCACUCCACACUCGUCUUGAACCCCUUUCCUGCGUCUGGACCAAUUUUUACUUCCAAGAAGAAGUCUCGCUGUGGGUACUGAGUCUGUGCCAGCAAAUUCCUAAGGAAAGUUUGCUUCUCUUCAGUGAGGCUCUCAAAGUGCCCGCCCCUAUUCACCUGUCCCUCAGGGCCUUCCUUCUUCCUCACUGCGCUCGUCCUGACAGGGUUCUCCCACAUCAUAUAAAUGCUUCGGACUUUGUA